AUUGAACGCUGGCGGCAGGCCUAACACAUGCAAGUAGAACGAGUGGCGGACGGGUGAGUAAUGUAUGGGAAACUGCCCGAUGGCGGGGGAUAACUACUGGAAACGGUAGAUAAUACCGCAUACCAUCGGAUGUGCCCAGAUGGGAUUAGCUAGUAGGUGGGGUAAAGGCUCAACUAGGCGACGAUCCCUAGCUGGUCUGAGAGGAUGACCAGCCACACUGGAACUGAGACACGGUCCAGACUCCUACGGGAGGCAGCAGUGGGGAAUAUUGGACAAUGGGCGCAAGCCUGAUGCAGCCAUGCCGCGUGUAUGAAGAAGUCCUUCGGGUUGUAAAGUACUUUCAGCGAGGAGGCGUUACUCGCAGAAGAAGCAUCGGCUAACUCCGUGCCAGCAGCCGCGGUAAUUC
RNAcentral lists this ribosomal RNA (406 nucleotides) under uncultured bacterium. RNAcentral describes it as "partial 16S ribosomal RNA". It matches the Rfam family "Bacterial small subunit ribosomal RNA", at positions 30 to 526 of the family's 1533-position model. The record is from RNAcentral.